RNAcentral lists this transfer RNA (86 nucleotides) under Puccinia graminis f. sp. tritici. It matches the Rfam family "tRNA". From Rfam's summary of the family: Transfer RNA (tRNA) molecules are approximately 80 nucleotides in length. Lineage: Eukaryota; Fungi; Basidiomycota; Pucciniomycetes; Pucciniales; Pucciniaceae. The record is from Rfam by way of RNAcentral.
GCAUCUGUAGCCUAGUUGGUAAAGGAAGCACUCUUGUAUGUGACCCAGCAUUGCUGAGGUUGUGAGUUCAAAUCUCACCAGGCACA